This 383-nucleotide ribosomal RNA is filed under the name uncultured bacterium. RNAcentral describes it as "bacterial SSU rRNA". It matches the Rfam family "Bacterial small subunit ribosomal RNA", at positions 28 to 408 of the family's 1533-position model. The record is from RNAcentral.
AUUGAACGCUGGCGGCGUGCCUAACACAUGCAAGUCGAGCGGUAACAGGUGUAGCAAUACAUGCUGACGAGCGGCGGACGGGUGAGUAACACGUGGGUGACCUGCCCUCAGCUCUGGGAUAAGCCUGGGAAACCGGGUCUAAUACUGGAUAUGACUCCAUGACGCAUGUUGUGGGGUGGAAAGCCUUGUGCGGCUGAGGAUGGGCCCGCGGCCUANCAGCUUGUUGGUGGGGUGAUGGCCUACCAAGGCGACGACGGGUAGCCGGCCUGAGAGGGCGGACGGCCACACUGGGACUGAGACACGGCCCAGACUCCUACGGGAGGCAGCAGUGGGGAAUUGUUCACAAUGGGCGCAAGCCUGAUGACGCAACGCCGCGUGGGGGA